UGUCCAGUCUUGUGCUCACCUCCUUGCUAUCUCCUGCUCUGAUGUUUUCACCUUCUGCCUGGAGCAAUGUGGGGAGAAUGUAACGAACACAGAUGAGGUUAAAGGAAGCAUGAAGGUGAGCUAGACCACUGUGAUUAGAUAAAGCAAGCAGACUCAGUGGCCUCUACACCUACUUUUACAUAACAUGAGACAGACCCAGACGCACAGAGAGCUCUGAAAUGUCAUGGAGGAAGCAGAUGAAGAAGACAGUGCAGGAUAGAGAGGUAACGUGAUUAAUAGCUCACUUUCAAGAACGGCAUGCAGGGUGCAUGCGUGCCCACAUGACAAAAGAUACUCAGAUCCAAGCACUCGCAAACUUCCAGUGUUGGGUGGUAGGAGACUAGUCAUCAUUCCUCCCUCUGCUGGCGAUUUCAUGAAUAAGCCAGGUGGACCAGCCUUGUGAAAUGCCUAAAUGCAGAGAUGCCAGGCUCCCAGCUAACCAUUGAGUGGGAAAUGUGGGAAAUUAUAUUACAUAUCAGAGUAUGGUCUGAACAGUUUCACCAUAGAAUGUAUCAUAGAAAGUAGUCUGAAAGCUCUUACUAAAGUGAUUUUGUCAUUUAUAAUAUGGUGUUCAGUAAUUUUUUAAUUUUGUAAUAAACUCUUCAGCUGCAAUGAUCUUUUUAAA
This is a long non-coding RNA of Symphalangus syndactylus (siamang), 664 nucleotides long. RefSeq lists it as uncharacterized. Lineage: Eukaryota; Metazoa; Chordata; Mammalia; Primates; Hylobatidae. The record is from RefSeq and is a predicted model, not a curated record.